RNAcentral lists this ribosomal RNA (429 nucleotides) under uncultured bacterium. RNAcentral's name for it is "bacterial SSU rRNA". It matches the Rfam family "Bacterial small subunit ribosomal RNA", at positions 355 to 776 of the family's 1533-position model. The record is from RNAcentral.
UCGAGGAUCUUUCGCAAUGGGCGAAAGCCUGACGAAGCGACGCUGUGUGAACGAUGAAGGCCUUCGGGUCGUAAAGUUCUUUCGCCUGGGAACAAGAGAGUUCAGUGAAUAACUGGAUAAUUUGAGGGUACCAGGUAAAGAAGCACCGGCUAACUCCGUGCCAGCAGCUGCGGUAAUACGGAGGGUGCAAGCAUUAAUCGGAAUUAUUGGGCGUAAAGGGCGCGUAGGCGGGUAUGAAAGUCAGAUGUGAAAUUCCGAAGCUCAACUUCGGAGCUGCAUUUGAAACUCCAUAUCUUGAGGGUAGGCGGAGAAAAUGGAAUUCCACAAGUAGCGGUGAAAUGCGUAGAUAUGUGGAAGAACACCAGUGGCGAAAGCGGUUUUCUAGCUUAUACCUGACGCUUAGGCGCGAGAGCAAGGGGAGCAAACAGG